GCUUCGGCUGUCACUUUAGGAUGGACCCGCGGCGCAUUAGCUUGUUGGUAAGGUAACGGCUUACCAAGGCGAUGAUACGUAGCCGACCUGAGAGGGUAAUCGGCCACAUUGGGACUGAGACACGGCCCAAACUCCUACGGGAGGCAGCAGUAGGGAAUCUUCCACAAUGGACGAAAGUCUGAUGGAGCAACGCCGCGUGAGUGAUGAAGGGUUUCGGCUCGUAAAACUCUGUUGUUGGAGAAGAACAGGUGUCAGAGUAACUGUUGACAUCUUGACGGUAUCCAACCAGAAAGCCACGGCUAACUACGUGCCAGCAGCCGCGGUAAUACGUAGGUGGCAAGCGUUGUCCGGAUUUAUUGGGCGUAAAGCGAGCGCAGGCGGUUUUUUAGGUCUGAUGUGAAAGCCUUCGGCUUAACCGGAGAAGUGCAUCGGAAACCGGGAGACUUGAGUGCAGAAGAGGACAGUGGAACUCCAUGUGUAGCGGUGAAAUGCGUAGAUAUAUGGAAGAACACCAGUGGCGAAGGCGGCUGUCUGGUCUGUAACUGACGCCGAGGCUCGAAAGCAUGGGUAGCGAACAGGAUUAGAUACCCUGGUAGUCCAUGCCGUAAACGAUGAGUGCUAAG
This 623-nucleotide ribosomal RNA is filed under the name uncultured bacterium. Its description in RNAcentral is "bacterial SSU rRNA". It matches the Rfam family "Bacterial small subunit ribosomal RNA", at positions 207 to 820 of the family's 1533-position model. The record is from RNAcentral.